Equus asinus (donkey) is the source of this 3093-nucleotide long non-coding RNA. Lineage: Eukaryota; Metazoa; Chordata; Mammalia; Perissodactyla; Equidae. The record is from Ensembl.
CCCUUAGUUUUGCUGUGAAACUAAAACUGCUCUAAGAAAUAAACUCUGUUUUUAAGAAAAGACAGUCCUGGCAUGUGAAAUGGGGUCCCUGCUGUCAUAGCAACCUCAGGCAACAUCCGUCUAGAGCACACGCUCUGUCCCCUUCCCGUCCAUUUAGAAGACAUGGGUGGGGAGUCCAGAAGUGAACCAGGUCUCCCACGGUGCCCACAGCGCCCAUUUGUUCUCUGAGUGUCCUGGGCAGUUCUGUUCAAGUGUCAGGGCCCAGGGGGUCAGCCCUGACCCCAGCGCUGAGGCCGACUUGGAGCCGCCUGCUGGGGAAGACCUCCUCCCAAGUCAAAACAGGCCGCCCCCACCACCAGGGAAAGCGGGACAGGGGCCCACCCAGGGCCUCCACUGCUCCUUCUCACACACCAGACUACUCACCACCAUCCCCUGGAGAGCAAGAUCAUGACAAACACCAACAGGCAGAGCCAAGGUUCCCCGUGGCACUCUGCCCACAGGACGGCUUCCUGGAGGAGGCCCCAGAGGGUCACCCAGGAGCAGGACACCACCGGCCUCCUCCCUGUGGGCACCGGGGGUGGUCAGGAGCCAGCCUGGCAGUCCGGAUGGUCAGCUCCCUGUUCGGCUCUCAGGGCCCCCUUUCUUCUGCGCCCGUCCAGCAGCCACAGGAGACACAGCCUGACAAACCCUCCUGUCCAGAGCCAGCAGGAAGGGAGCGCAGCCUGGGAACGCCACUGUCACCAUGGCAACGCGGGGGGGGGGCGGGCCUGGGGACGCAGCCGGUCCGACAGCCACUGGCUGGCCAGAGGGGCGUUGCUUACUGUUCUGGACACCUCUGCUCCCCCUCUGCUCACUUUUAGAAGGUCCCGAGGCAGCAGGGCGGGUCUUAAACCCUCCAGCGUGAUGAGCCGCCUUUUGUCUGUGUGGACGCUCACCACGUACCUGUUUGCUCCCCGCAGCGCACCUGUGAGCUAUUAUUACAUCAUUAAGGGAGCCAAGGAGACCCUCCGGCAGAACCAACGCACCUGGCGAAGAGGGCGCACUAAGAUCUGCUCCUGACACUGAGAACAAACGCAAGAAGAGAAACGUCUAACGGGAAAGCGACGCCCUGAGCGCACGGAACCCGGCUCGGGCUCAGCCGCCCCGCCGCGUCUACGCGAGCCCCCAGUCUCCCCACGGAGUCCCCGCCCACGGCGCGCUGCGGGUCCCCGAGGCGAGGCAGACCCCGGCCUGGCGUCCUCGGCCCGCGGCGCCGCCUGCCGGCGGAGCGGGCGGAAAUGGUGGGAACCGGCGUCCAGCGAUCCCUCCUUCUCCAGCGGCGCCGCCCCACGCCCCGCCCCGCCGGGCCGCCGCCCAACCCCGCGAACGCCGUCCCCGCAUACGCGCCGCGGACGGGGAAGCUACCCGGAGCCUCGCUCCCGCUGGCUGCCCAGACCGCGUGGGCGGAGCCCCGACCCCGGGCUCUGCGCGUUCCGAGGUGUUCCCAGGAACGAAGGCAGCGCUGCAGGCCUGCGCCCCGCGCCCGCGUCCCCGAGCGCCAGCCCCCGCGGCCACCGUCACGCUCAGUGGGGGACACGCCCGCACACGGAGGCCCUCGGCGUGAGAAACGUCUGUGCCCCCGCCCCCCGGACACAGCUCGGGCCCGGGACUCGAACGUGCCCACGUGGCCUGUACUCUGCCCGGAAAGCCCGCGAAUGGAAGCACCGGGUGCGGGGAGGAGAGAACCGGGCUCAGCGAGCGCGGCCUGCGCGGGGGGGCGCCUCCGGCCGCUGGGUAGUUGGGAGGGUCGCGUAGCCACGGAGCAAACAUGGGGGAAAACCAGAGUCUAGAAGCGGCGGUUCUGCAACGAGAGGAGACAGCCGGUGGGACUCCGCAAAUGUUCUUUUUCCACGCUGUUGCGAUGAAAAAUGUGUGAUCAACAACAACUGGGACAGAAGGGAAUUUCCUCCGUUUUCUGGGCACUUGUGAGUCUCAGGCAUUUUCCUGGUGGCUUCAUUUAACCGUCCAAAUCCAGUGUCUUCACCCAAAACUAACACCUGACUGCCUCUCUGAGAAGCGCUCCUUCACAACUGAAACCCGGAGGGGGGCGGCGUCCCAGCUUUCCGGGAGUCCUGUCCGUGAGGAGUCCCACCUGACCCGUGUCACCAGGUGACGCAGUCCCAGCAGCCUGAACCCACGGGUGACAUCUUUGUUCAAAAACCUCGGCCAAGAAAAGCCGCCUUUAUUUGAGGUUUGAGCAGUGAUUUUCCCGUGGCACGUAGAAAAACGGCAGAAAUACUUUCACUCCAAGCACUUAUCUGCUGGGCGUGGAACUAUCCAGGCGGCUGCCCCGUCAAUGGGAUGUUUCUCCGUGCCACCCAGGAGCAUCAAGGGCAGAGGUGCAUCCUCCCCAAUAAGCUGGACACACCUUAUUUUCUUUGCACGUUUCCCCUGACCUUCUGACAUUUUACAGAAGCUCGAUGGGAGCCUUUUUGUCACUCUGCAGACUCAGUCUCACACCCACUCCCGCGGGCACCCACCUGGCCUCUGACCCUGGAGCAGAAAGAACAGAGGUCGUGCCAAUGAGGUCCAAACUCCUGCGCUAGUCUGAUGAGCUGGGACAAUGCCCACCUGCAGCAUUGGGUGUCUGAGAUCUCCCAGGCCAACAGCCCAGAAAACAGCAGCAUCCCUCGGAAACUGAAUCAACCUUCCUGGGCACACAUGACUGCAAAUAAACUAUUAUUGUAUAUUAAAUAAAUAUUAAGUAGGAACCACUUACCAAAUAUGGACGUCUUGAAUACAUAGUGAACAAAUCGUUUGAACAGGUGUGUGCCAGGCCCUCACAUAAGGAUAUUAUCAUUUGCCCCCUGGGAGAUGGGCAUCAUUAAUUCUAUUCACAGGUGAAGAAACUGUGAAGUGUGUAAAUGCCUCUGGAAGAGCAGUUUUGGGGAGAGAGCAUGGCACCUCCUGGCACGGUGGCUCAGGCUCCCCUCCUGGGUUCCUGGUUCACUGACCUCAGCACGGGGGCCAGUGCACUCAGGGCUGGCUUACCUGGGCGCCACCAAGGCUCCCACCUCAAUGGCAGGGGGGUGGGACCACACACACGCCCAUAUC